This 449-nucleotide ribosomal RNA is filed under the name uncultured bacterium. RNAcentral's name for it is "bacterial SSU rRNA". It matches the Rfam family "Bacterial small subunit ribosomal RNA", at positions 29 to 524 of the family's 1533-position model. The record is from RNAcentral.
AACGAACGCUGGCGGCAUGCCUAACACAUGCAAGUCGAACGAGACCUUCGGGUCUAGUGGCGCACGGGUGCGUAACGCGUGGGAAUCUGCCCUUGGGUUCGGAAUAACUCACCGAAAGGUGUGCUAAUACCGGAUGAUGUCGAAAGACCAAAGAUUUAUCGCCCAGGGAUGAGCCCGCGUAGGAUUAGCUAGUUGGUGAGGUAAAGGCUCACCAAGGCGACGAUCCUUAGCGGUCUGAGAGGAUGAUCAGCCACACUGGGACUGAGACACGGCCCAGACUCCUACGGGAGGCAGCAGUGGGGAAUAUUGGACAAUGGGCGAAAGCCUGAUCCAGCAAUGCCGCGUGAGUGAUGAAGGCCUUAGGGUUGUAAAGCUCUUUUACCCGGGAUGAUAAUGACAGUACCGGGAGAAUAAGCUCCGGCUAACUCCGUGCCAGCCGCCGCAGUAAC